UACGUAGGCAGCGAGCGUUGUUCGGAGUUGCUGGGCGUAAAGGGUGUGUAGGCGGUUGUUUAAGUUUGGUGUGAAAUCUCCCGGCUCAACUGGGAGGGUGCGCCGAAUACUGAAUGACUUCGAGUGCGGGAGAGGAGAGUGGAAUUCCUGGUGUAGCGGUGAAAUGCGUAGAUAUCAGGAGGAACACCGGUGGUGUAGACGGCUCUCUGGACCGUAACUGACGCUGAGACACGAAAGCGUGGGUAGCAAACAGG
RNAcentral lists this ribosomal RNA (254 nucleotides) under uncultured bacterium. RNAcentral describes it as "partial 16S ribosomal RNA". It matches the Rfam family "Bacterial small subunit ribosomal RNA", at positions 524 to 776 of the family's 1533-position model. The record is from RNAcentral.